GACGAACGCUGGCGGCGUGCUAACACAUGCAAGUCGAACGAGAAGAGAUGAGAAGCUUGCUUCUUAUUGAUUCGAGUGGCAAACGGGGUGAGUAACGCGUAAGCAACCUGCCCUUCAGAUGGGGGACAACAGCUGGAAACGGCUGCUAAUACCGAAUACGUUCUCUUUAUCGCAUGGCAGAGGGAAGAAAGGGAGGCUCUUCGGAGCUUUCGCUGAAGGAGGGGCUUGCGUCUGAUUAGCUAGUUGGAGGGGUAACGGCCCACCAAGGCGACGAUCAGUAGCCGGUCUGAGAGGAUGAACGGCCACAUUGGGACUGAGACACGGGCCCAGACUCCUACGGGAGGCAGCAGUGGGGAAUCCUCCGCAAUGGGGGCAACCCUGACCGAGCAACGCCGCGUGAGUGAAGAAGGUUUUCGGAUCGUAAAGCUCUGUUGUAAGAGAAGAACGUGUGUGAGAGUGGAAAGUUCACACAGUGACGGUAACUUACCAGAAA
This 493-nucleotide ribosomal RNA is filed under the name uncultured bacterium. RNAcentral describes it as "bacterial SSU rRNA". It matches the Rfam family "Bacterial small subunit ribosomal RNA", at positions 28 to 489 of the family's 1533-position model. The record is from RNAcentral.